GGUCUUAUGUUCGAUCAUGUUAUGUUUUGUUUUUUGGACUCUUGUUUCCUGUUUUGCACUUCCUGGUUUUGUUUUGUUUCCAUAGUAACCCAUUAGUUUCCACCUGGUCUCCUAGUCACGACCUGGUCCUCAGCCCUCACAUCUGUUUUUAAUAAUCACAGCUGGUAUUUAAGCCAUUUGUUUUCUGUUCCUAGGCCUGGCAACUUUACCGGAUGUACCUACUGAACCUUACCUACCCUCAUGGCCACGCACCUGCCUGACCCUCAUUUACCUUCAUGCCUAGCCACGCUGUUGUUGUUCUGUUUAUACCACGCCUGGCAACUUUACCGGAUGUACCUACUGAACCUUACCUACCCUCAUGGCCACGCACCUGCCUGACCCUCAUCUACCUUCAUGCCUAGCCACGCUGUUGUUGUUCUGUUUAUACCACGCCUGGCAACUUUACCGGAUGUACCUACUGAACCUUACCUACCCUCAUGACAACGCACCUGCCUGACCCUCAUCUACCUUCAUGCCUAGCCACGCUGUUGUUGUUCUGUUUAUACCACGUAAGAUUUUUGGUUUGUUUUGUGCCACAGUUAGUAUCUUUUUUUCCUUUGUAUAUAUAGUCAUGCCAUUGUGCUGUUUUUGUUUGAAGUAUAGUCUAGUUUAUUCUCUGCCACUUUGCGCGCCCUUUGUUUUUCUGUUUUGAAUUAUAGUGUUAAAUAAAUUAAUCAUGUACUUACAUUCACG
This is a long non-coding RNA of Nerophis ophidion (straightnose pipefish), 732 nucleotides long. RefSeq lists it as uncharacterized. The record is from RefSeq and is a predicted model, not a curated record. The transcript is spliced from 3 exons. NCBI's taxonomy places the organism in Eukaryota, Metazoa, Chordata, Actinopteri, Syngnathiformes, Syngnathidae.